This 460-nucleotide ribosomal RNA is filed under the name uncultured bacterium. Its description in RNAcentral is "partial 16S ribosomal RNA". It matches the Rfam family "Bacterial small subunit ribosomal RNA", at positions 338 to 795 of the family's 1533-position model. The record is from RNAcentral.
CCUACGGGAGGCAGCAGUGAGGAAUAUUGGUCAAUGGACGCAAGUCUGAACCAGCCAAGCAGCGUGCAGGAAGACGGCUCUAUGGGUUGUAAACUGCUUUUGUACGGGGAUAAAUCGCGCUACGUGUAGCAGGUUGAAAGUAUCAUACGAAUAAGGAUCGGCUAACUCCGUGCCAGCAGCCGCGGUAAUACGGAGGAUUCAAGCGUUAUCCGGAUUUAUUGGGUUUAAAGGGUGCGUAGGCGGUUCGAUAAGUUAGUGGUGAAAUCCCGGGGCUCAACUCUGGAACUGCCUCUGAUACUGUCGGGCUAGAGUUUAGUUGCGGUAGGCGGAAUGCAUGGUGUAGCGGUGAAAUGCAUAGAGAUCAUACAGAACACCGAUUGCGAAGGCAGCUUACCAAACUACGACUGACGUUGAGGCACGAAAGCGUGGGGAGCAAACAGGAUUAGAUACCCCUGUAGUC